This 253-nucleotide ribosomal RNA is filed under the name uncultured bacterium. RNAcentral's name for it is "partial 16S ribosomal RNA". It matches the Rfam family "Bacterial small subunit ribosomal RNA", at positions 524 to 776 of the family's 1533-position model. The record is from RNAcentral.
UACGGAGGGGGCUAGCGUUGUUCGGAAUCACUGGGCGUAAAGCGCACGUAGGCGGCUUUGUAAGUUAGAGGUGAAAGCCCGGGGCUCAACUCCGGAAUUGCCUUUAAGACUGCAUCGCUCGAAUUGUGGAGAGGUAAGUGGAAUUCCGAGUGUAGAGGUGAAAUUCGUAGAUAUUCGGAAGAACACCAGUGGCGAAGGCGACUUACUGGACACAUAUUGACGCUGAGGUGCGAAAGCGCGGGGAGCAAACAGG